Molecule: microRNA precursor, 58 nt
Organism: Astatotilapia calliptera (eastern happy)
Lineage: Eukaryota; Metazoa; Chordata; Actinopteri; Cichliformes; Cichlidae
Source: Ensembl
AUCCCUUUGCUGUCCCUGCCUUAUCCAAGUUCCAGGCAUAGGAUGACAAAGGGAAGCC